Planococcus citri (citrus mealybug) is the source of this 6070-nucleotide long non-coding RNA. RefSeq lists it as uncharacterized. Lineage: Eukaryota; Metazoa; Arthropoda; Insecta; Hemiptera; Pseudococcidae. The record is from RefSeq and is a predicted model, not a curated record. The transcript is spliced from 4 exons.
GUAUACGCCAAAAAUUGAGAAGUAUAGAUAACGUUUCACUUCAAUUUUUAGUUUUAUUUUCUCCUUAUCAAUUUUAAAAAUUGAUAAAAAAAUAUCACUUUCGGUACCUAUUUUAAUAAACCUCAUAAAAUUAUGGAUAUUUUGGAUUUGUUUGAAUCUGAAGUAGAGAAUGAGUCCAGAAAAAAAUUGAAGUGAAAGUCAUCAAUUCAUCAUCAUUUAUAUGUAUGUACAUUGAUCUACAUACAAAGUUCCUACCUACUUCCCAAUUUUUUAAAACCAUUUUUCAACCAUUUGCAAGUGAAAACGCAUACUUUUCCAAAUAUUUAUCCUAAAUUGUUUUUAUAAGGAUUGCCUUUGAGGUUUUUAGAAUAAUUGUUACUCGUAGCAAAAUUUACCAUGUUUUAUUGCCGUGAAAGGUACACAUGUUUCGCUUAUAACCUGGCUGAGAAAUUUUGUAAGCAAAACACACCAGCAAAGAUAGCUCCAAAAAUCUGGCAUACUUUUCUUUCAUUUUGAGCGUUAUUUGGCAUAAUGAAAAUUCCAUAGCAACACUUUAGCGCAUUUUCAAAGAUGAAAUUUUGUCAAAAUUAUACCUAAUGAAGUUGGAAAGAUAAAAUUUACAUUUGCGCAAAUCGCAGUAUUUCAUUCAUGACGAAAUACAGUGAUUCGCGCAAAUGGGAAAUUUUGAUUUUUGGAUACCUAUUAUUAUUAUGGAAAAAACUGUUCAAAAAAUCACUCUUGAGGUGUCCCUUCCAGAAUCGACUCAAAUGUGGAUAAACUCGUUAAACAGGUCGAGUAUAACACCCAACUCGAUUUUCAGCUAAGUACAUAACUUCAUACCUAUUUACGUCUUCUGGAGCAAAUUAAAAAUUCUUGAGAAAUUGUAAAAUCGCGCUGGAGGCUCCAGAUUGGCUGGAAAUGGUGAAAUUUGGAUUUGGGGAAUUAUAAUAUCAGUUUUAGGACUUAUUUUGAUCAUUUUUGCUGAGCAUGUACGUACUUGUUUGAAAAAAGCAUAAAUCACCAAAAACUGUCAAUACAAAUAAUUUUGAAUUUUUCAACGUUCGCCAAAUAUCGAGAUAUGAAGUUGGGCAGCUGAAAAUUUGGUUUUGGAGGUUAUCGGAGACGGACACUCAACAGGUUCCCUUGUAAGGCACGUAACGAGAUAGGUAUACAUAUAGGUAAAUCGAAUAGUUUGUUGUCAAAGGAGGCAACUGUUUCAGCUUUGUAAGGCUAUAUGCAAGUUAAUUUCAUUGCUUCAAAACAGUUCCAGCUCAAGUAACGUCAAUAUAGACUGAACAGUGGUUGUUAUUGUGUGUAAGGGUAGGUGACCCAAGUCAAGGACGAAGAAGCGACAACACUGGAAACCAGUCCUGGGUAGUAGUACAGUACUAUGAUACAUGUUAUAAGUGAGCCAUGCCAUUUGCGUGUAUUUAUGUUUGACUUCUGCUAUCCUUACUACCUUACAUUUACAUCCUGCCACAUUCCAUUCCAAACGUUGAAAUCGCUUUCUCUUUUCUCCCUGCACACCCUUCAUUCAUCAGCUAUCACUGGUUUCAUCCCUCUAUUGUCCGUUCUCUGUUGGCUCGCUCGACUACGCUUCUUGUCAUCUUGUGUUUAGUUAGUCUUAGUACGUAGUUAAUAUUAGGUUUAGGUAGUUCGUGUUGAAAUGUACUUCUUUAAUUUUCGGACACGCGGUUAGGUAUUUCUGUUUUAAAGUAACUAGUAAGAAAUCUCGUGAAAAACGUGCUCUGAUAAAAAAUACGUGUGUUUAAAUAGGAGAAUAUUUCGUUUUUUCCCUCAACGCCAUUUCUCCAGAACUUCUAAAACAGGGUAUCCUAAUCUAACAGGUAGUGAAAGUAGUGAAAAAGUAAUAGGUAAUUGUGAAAAUCAGUAGUGAAAGUAGUGAUUUUUGGCUGAAAAGGUACCUAGUAAAAAUUUGGAAAAUAUAAUUUCAAUUUUGAAUACGUCUGGGUAAUUCCUUCUUUUUUACAACUCGAUUCAUGGAUUUUCAAAAGCUUUCGUCUUUUCUUCGCUCGGGCACGACUUCUUUUCUUCCCCUUUUAAAUUACUGCAAGAUACCUAUGCACUUGAAAAUGAGGUUUUUGACUCAAGUUUCAGAAAUAUCAAACACAGCAAACAAAAACUGAUUUUUCUUGUGAGAGCAAUGUUUUUUCACUUCUCGAAUCUCCCUCCAAGCAGCAGUAGACACCAUUGCUCAGUGGAUGCAGACAUGGAAGAUUGCUGUAAAUUGCGGGAAAUCCGUACACGUUGAUUUCUCCCUCCGCACUCACUCCUACUUACCAGUUAGCAUUAAUGGUGCAAUUGUGCCUUACUCGAACUGCACAAAGUACCUUGGCAUGUAUCUAGAUUCGAGGCUGAAUUGGAGCCAACACAUUCGUGCCAAAAAGCUCCAGAUAAAAGGAAAAAUGCGAGAAUUGCACUGGCUGAUGGGGCGCAAAUCGAGGCUAAGUCUUCAGAACAAGCGCCUUUUAUACCUGGCAAUAAUCCGACCCAUCUGGCUAUAUGGUAUUGCUCUAUGGGGUUGUGCCUCAAAAUCAAACAUACUGAUAAUACAACGAUGCCAGAACAUAAUCAUAAGAACGAUGGCGGGUGCAUACCGGUUUGAACGAAAUGCCGACCUCCAUGAGGACCUGAAAAUGAGUUAUGUCGCGGAGGAGAUUUGCAGGCAAGCAGAACGACACGAGAGAAGACUUCACAAGCACUGCAACCCCAGUGCCAUCCAACUUUUGGACAAUUCGAGCGAUACACGCAGGCUGAAGAGAUUCAAGCCGUCCGACCUUCCAGCAAGGAGAAUCAAUUGAGGAAACAGAACAGUUGAGCUGCGGUGGAAUCGUCGAUGGGCGCUCUCAGCCGGACCUGGUGAUUUUAGUCAAAGCCGACGAUGGAUGCCCAAUGUGGCAGGGGUCGCGAAAAUUUGAAAAAAAAAAAAAAAAAAAAAACUUCUCGAAUCCCACAUGUUACAAAUCUUUUGCCUCGCUUUGUUUGCUCUGUUCAAUUUUCUUUUUUAUUCUCAAUUUAAAUUUCUAAACAAUUAUUCUUCCAAUUUGGAAAAAUGCCAGAGCUGAGAACAAUGAACUUUUCGCAUUAAAAAUAAUUUUGAAUAGUUUUUUGAAUUUGAAUAUUUGAGAGCUUUUGUCCGUCACUUCGAUAGUUUUAAUUCCAAAUUUCGUAAAAAAAAUUCUGUUUCAAUAAUUUUAUAAAAUGUUGAAGACUCAACUUCUCCAGUUCUCCCAUAAAAAAUAACACUACCUAUUCAAGUUACUGAUUAAUGAAUUUUCAAAAAAUUACUCCUUCGCUUCAUUGAGACCCAUUUUUUUUUCUUGUUCGAAAUUGAAAUUUGAAAAAAAUUACUGUUCAAAUAUUACAAUUGCCAAGGUCAACAAAAUCAGCAUCUGAAAUAAAAAAUUAUAUCAAUUUUGGAGAGCUUUUACCCUUGCUUCCUUCGGUGUUCAUGAUUGCUUUGAAAUUGAAAAAUGUCACACCAGUUUUCAAAGGUUACGUUCUUCGAAUAAUACAAAAAAUGUUGGGAAAAUAUGGGAAAAGGAAAGAGAGGUUAAAAUUGUCUGGAAUUGUGUUCUAAAUACUAGUGAAAUGGUAAUGAAAAAGUUGUGAUUUUCGCUAGAAAAAUUCCAUUAGAUACCCUGUAAAAGCUCUGGAAGUAAGAAAAUUCAACAUUUUAAUGAAUUGCAAAAUGUGCGCUCAAACUGAUCCGAUCAAUAAACGGAUUCAUUCCUACUUAUCUAAGAAAAAAAAAUGGUAUAGCAUAAAUUUCUAUCAUUUUGGACGUUAUCUGGAAAAUUUUUUACUUCGCAUAACAAAAAUUCCAUGGAAACAUUUCAGUGGAUUCUCGAAGUUGAAAUUUCCCCAAAGUUUCACCCAAUGAAGUACACAUAACUGCGUGCCCGAAUACUAAAAAAGUGCAUUUCAACAUUUGUAAUUUUUAUCCUGGAUGAAAAAUGAAUAAAAUCACAACACAAUUUCUUGCAUGUGCAAAUGUUUACCAUAAAAUAUAUAAAAAUGCGUAAACCAAUGCACUAGUUCAUAGUCUUCACGCUGAAAUUCAUUAAAAAGUUGAAAAUGUGUGAAUAAUUUCGCGUGAUGAAACGCAUUAAAAUGUAAACGGUAAAUGCAGAUAUAAACGCACAUAAGCAUGCGCAUUCUGAAACGCUUACGAAAAUAUGUGCAUAAACGCAUCAGUAAAAGCAUACGUAAGUCCUCAUGCUGAAAUGUGUAGACCUGGAUGCAUAUACGCACUCGUAAACGCAGAGAUUUGUCACAUGCUGAAAUCAAUGGUAUAUUGUUACGCAGAAUGCAAUGCAUAAACGCAGGUGUAUACGCACAUAGAGUAAAAAUGUGCAGAAACGCUGGAGUACUGCGUGCAUAAAUGCGUGAGUAAAGACAUGUGUAAAAGCAUGCUUAAACGCCCCAAAAGUCUCUUUUUACGCAUGCGUAAGAAGGGCGUAAACACAUGCACAACGCAUAUGUUUGUGCAUAUGUUUAAGCACUUCAAAAAUUUCACGGGAAUUGACGGUUUUGGACAUUUCUAUAAAAAAGCGCCUCAAUGCGAAUCGAUUAUCGUAGCAGCCUAAUCGUACUAUGUACCAUUCGUACUCGUGAAGAGGAAAAUCUACAAGAAGCUCGUGAGGAAGAGAAAAUUGCGAGGAGACGGUGGCGCUGCAGUGGUUAUCAUUUCACCGUAAUAAAACAGGCGUAGUGGGGGGGGGGGUGCAGUGUUCAAAAGUAUAUAAUUGAUGAUGCUGCCGCCGAUGCGCAGAGCAGCUGUAGUCGCGAGAUCCUUCGAACAUCGUAACCACGAUCAGCUCAGGGGCGCCGAGCUCAGCUGCCAGCUAUAACUCGGCUUCGGUCACUAUCGCUACUGCAGCCCCAGCCGCCGCCGCAGCGUCCGCAUCAAAUUCUAAAUCAUCCGCAGUACAAUCAUCCACGAGUCCAUCUGGCAAAGUUAUCGGCCCAGCAGAUCCGCCCAAGGAGGAUGAUGCCGGUGGUGGAGAUCAGGCGGGUGGGAGGGGCGGUCAGACGACGUGUUUGAAUAACUAUCUGACCAUCAAGGAGCUGCACGAUAUCGAAAAGGAAGACGGAUCAGCUUAAAGAAGAUCCCAUACCUGAAAGUUCCAACUCGUUGAUUUUAAUUAAACGAAGCGAAAACGUCUCUGUCAACGCUAUCGACGUCCGGCGCUUAUCAGUAGCACCCGCAAUUGCAAAAGUGCGAGAGGCGCAAGAAGAAACGUAAUUUGAGGACUCGUUCGGCGACCAGUAGCAGUUCUAGUUCGGAUAUAAAACAUGCGGAAGCGUCGGUAUCUCCAGCAUCGCAUUGAACAGAAUGCAGGCUGAGCAGGGAAGCAUCGGCGAGUUUCAAAAAUAUCAUAAUUGCUUUCUACGCAGUCGUCGACAUACCCUUGCCAACGUUAGAUGGUGAAUGUUUUUGCAUUUGAACAUGGAAUUAUGAAAGAUUCAAUAUUUAGAGGAAUGUCACAAUGGUGAGUGUUUUUGCAUUUGAACAUGGAAUUACCUAUUAAGGAUUCAUUGUAUAGAAAUAUGUCACAAUCAGGAACAUCCUCCACAUUCAACACGAGAAGACACUGAAUGGCUACUGUUAGACGCCAAUCGCAAGAUGGAGCUGAAGGCAGAAAGGCGAAUGGCAGGAAGCAGAUCGCCUGAUGGAGAAGGCAGAAAGGAAAAUGGCAGAAGCAGACCGCCUGAUGGAAAAUGCAGAACGGCGACUAGCAGAAGCUAAUCGCCAGAUGGAGAACGCCGAACGGAUGUGCAUCAUUUGCCAGGAUGUUGAGCCCACACAGGUAUGCGUGCCUUGUGGGCAUAUAGUGAUGUGUCUAGAGUGUGUACAGAGUUUUUUUUUUGGAUAAUCCAAAUAAUUGCCCGAUUUGCAGGCAAUCAGUGGAAUAUACUAUCAAGGUAUAUUUAUAGCUAGGUAUUUUAAACUCGUAAGGUAUUAUUUGUAUCCUAUGUAAAUGUAGGUACAGUAUGGUACUUCAAUAAUAUAAUUUGUUUGAAAUAAAUUACCUAUAUAAAUUAA